GCAACUAAGGUGUUACUGGUGGCAUAGUAGAUUUCCAAUCUUCAGGAGUGGGUUCAAGUCCCGCUAGUUGCU
Molecule: transfer RNA, 72 nt
Filed under: Flavobacteriaceae bacterium
Lineage: Bacteria; Pseudomonadati; Bacteroidota; Flavobacteriia; Flavobacteriales; Flavobacteriaceae
Description: tRNA-Gly
Rfam family: tRNA
About the family: Transfer RNA (tRNA) molecules are approximately 80 nucleotides in length. Their secondary structure includes four short double-helical elements and three loops (D, anti-codon, and T loops).
Source: RNAcentral